AGUGAGCACUGUGUGGAAACCUGGAAAGCUCUAUGGUUCAUCCCAGAAGGAAGACUGGCGGUUCCUACGUAGAGAUAAUAGCCUUCUAAAGGUUUCAUUUGGAUGGAGUCCUUUUAUACCAGUAAGAGGGGUAACAGAAAUUCAUUCCUGCCUAGAUUUUCAUCUUUGAGGCAAAGGAUUCCGUUAAGUAUUGAACUGUUUAUUUUGUGAUGUCCAUGCUUGUCCUGUGAGAACUAGUGACAAGUGCAGUGCUUACUUGGUACUGGGUAACAUAGCACUUUUACAUCAAAGAAUUUUCAAUCACUCCAAGCCUAGACUAGAUUUUCCUGGUGACCCAGUACUGCUAUUUCCAGUUACCAUUUCUAUCAUUAAACCUUCCUCUUUAUUUUAGUCAAAAUCUGCAUGCUCUACCAAAUUUAGUGUCUUUUUUGCAUUGGCUUUGUAUUUGCAAGUAGCUUAUGAAAUUCUUUUUAGUUUCCCAUGAUAUGUAAUAAUCCUAGUUUACUAAACAUUGAACAUUUUAAAAAAAAUAGCUGGCAUGCCUUAGAGGAAAAAAUGCCUUAUCUGCACGUCUUCAUUUAGAAUAAUUUCUAUGUUAAUAUCUUAUUCCAUAAGAGUGUUCUGGCACAGGGCCAUGACUAUAGUGCCUGGUACCCAGUGGUAAUAUCACAGGAGUGAUGGUUGAUACUAACAGUGUGGAGGAGACAGUGCAAACCCAGAGUUAGAGAUGUGUGUUAUGUUGUCCAGUUCCUUUAAUGACCUGCUGGGAGGCUGGGUGCAUUUCUUGCACUCUUUUUUAUGUUUUCUCUUGAAUGGGAAUCACCACCCUCCCUCUCACCAUAGACUCUCAGUGGCUGUACUUUGACCACCUUAAUGUUUGUGUCCCUCCUGUCCGUUCAUGUUAGGACUUUCAUCAGCCUGUGUGCCAGUCUUCCUGCCACCCGUCUUAUUCCAUUGCUAUCCCUGUGUUGAGUUCAGAUUCUUUUUUCCCAAUCGCACAUGUGCUGUCUUGACUUAAGGCCUCUGGUGGCUCCUGGUGAGCUCUGAGAUGAAGUUACACUCGCUUUGGCUAUUGGGAUUCUAAGGAUUUUCACCUUGUGUUGUCCUCACCUCUUCUUGGAGCCUUUGUUGUUGCCCCUAAACCCUGCUUUCUUUCUACAUGCUUCUUUGCUUGAAAACACUUAUUUAAUAAUAAUAAUAAUAAUAAUAAUAUAUGUAUGUGUGUGUGUGUGUGUGUAUAUAUAUAUAUAUAUACAUAUAUAUAUAUAUAUCACCAUGAAAUCUUUUGUGACUCAAGUGAGAUUGGUUACUGCCUCUUUGAUUCCCAUCCUGCAGUGUGCGUCCUUCUCAGUUACUGUAAAGCCACUGUAUUUGCAUUUGUCUUCCUCUCCCUAAUCCGUUGCCUGAGGGAGUAUAUCUUGUACAGUUUUGCAUUUCCGUGUUUGGAUCAGUGGUUGAUGCAGGGAUCGGAGGAGGUUGUAGCAUUUGCAGUGUGACUUCCCGCUCAGAUAUACUUCCUUUCCAGUGUUGGAUUGAAAUGGCUUAAGGAGAAUUCAGAUUAGGAAUUGAUGAGAUAGGUAGACUAGAUAGAUCUUUACUUAAUUGAUGUGAUUGGAGGGCCAGUAGGAAGGUUUCUAGUCCCCAUACCCACCCAUAGAUUUCAUAGUUUGUUUUGUGGUGAAACUUCCAAGUCUCUGUGUCAGCAUGUCAUUGUCAUCUCUUUGUUAGAGAACUUCCUAAUUUUCAGUGGCUCAGAAACAACUGAUUGCCAAAGUUUGGGGAGUUGGGGAGAGCAAAGGACUGGUAUGUGAGGAUGUGUUCUCUCCCACAAAUAUAAGGUUCACUUUGGCUGUCGUUCUGUUCCGUUCAGAUUCGGUCCCUUUCUGAGCCCAAACUUCUGCUCUAUCUGCUGUCUUUGAGUUUACAACUUCUUUAUAUCCAUUUUUCCAGAAGCCAAAUAGUUAAGAUUAUGUGGGACAACACAACCACACUUGUGAGGUGUACAUAGGACUUGAACCUAAGGAGAUGAGAAAGUCUUUCUGCAAAAGGAAUUAUACAAAGAUAGAAAGCUGGUG
Molecule: long non-coding RNA, 2075 nt
Filed under: Mus musculus (house mouse)
Lineage: Eukaryota; Metazoa; Chordata; Mammalia; Rodentia; Muridae
Description: long non-coding RNA chr12:79532659-79534734
Source: RNAcentral